GUGAUCAUCAUAAUCUUCAUACUUUCUCUUGGACGAAGGGCGAGGAAGUUCAGGAUCUCGCGAUCGACGGUCUGGAGAUGGCCUCGCAGGCCGACUGUGAUGGUCAAGGUCAGGUGAUGGCCUCUCAGGUCGGCGGUGGUCAAGCUCCGGCGAAGGCCUCUCAGGUCGGCGGUGGUGGUCAAGGUCCGGUGAUGGCCUCUCAGGUCGGCGAUGGUGAUCAAGGUCCGGUGAUGGCCUCUCAGGU
This 244-nucleotide long non-coding RNA is filed under the name Nicotiana benthamiana. RNAcentral describes it as "long non-coding RNA (NBEN_LNC025780)". Lineage: Eukaryota; Viridiplantae; Streptophyta; Magnoliopsida; Solanales; Solanaceae. The record is from RNAcentral.